GAAUAAAAAAAGAGUUGAGAGAGAAAAUGAGGAGGAAAUAGUUGAGGAAAAUAUUGAUGGUGAAGUGGGGGAGUGGAGUGAAAAGGAAGAAGUUGAAAAGAACAAAAAGAAUGGUGAAGUUGAAAAGAAAAAAAGUGUGGAGAUUGAGAAAAAUACAAGUGAUGAAGUAGUGGUGGAGCCAGUGAAAAAACCUAGAUGGAGGAGUUCGAGAAUUGCAAAAGGAAAGGAGGUAGUGAGCGCUACUCCAAUCCAAAACCUUCCUUAUCCUCAUGCUCCUUCCAAAAGGGAGAAUGAACGGCAUUACGCCCGGUUCAUGGGUAUUUUU
This 325-nucleotide long non-coding RNA is filed under the name Lathyrus oleraceus (garden pea). RNAcentral's name for it is "Pisum sativum (pea) long non-coding RNA (PSAT_LNC016334)". Lineage: Eukaryota; Viridiplantae; Streptophyta; Magnoliopsida; Fabales; Fabaceae. The record is from RNAcentral.